RNAcentral lists this ribosomal RNA (497 nucleotides) under uncultured bacterium. RNAcentral describes it as "partial 16S ribosomal RNA". It matches the Rfam family "Bacterial small subunit ribosomal RNA", at positions 28 to 507 of the family's 1533-position model. The record is from RNAcentral.
GAUGAACGCUGGCGGCGUGCCUAAUACAUGCAAGUCGAGCGAACAGACGAGGAGCUUGCUCCUCUGACGUUAGCGGCGGACGGGUGAGUAACACGUGGAUAACCUACCUAUAAGACUGGGAUAACUUCGGGAAACCGGAGCUAAUACCGGAUAAUAUAUUGAACCGCAUGGUUCAAUAGUGAAAGACGGUUUUGCUGUCACUUAUAGAUGGAUCCGCGCCGCAUUAGCUAGUUGGUAAGGUAACGGCUUACCAAGGCAACGAUGCGUAGCCGACCUGAGAGGGUGAUCGGCCACACUGGAACUGAGACACGGUCCAGACGCCUACGGGAGGCAGCAGUAGGGAAUCUUCCGCAAUGGGCGAAAGCCUGACGGAGCAACGCCGCGUGAGUGAGGAAGGUCUUCGGAUCGUAAAACUCUGUUAUUAGGGAAGAACAAAUGUGUAAGUAACUAUGCACGUCUUGACGGUACCUAAUCAGAAAGCCACGGCUAACUACGUG